CCCGCUUAAGAGCUGCUAGCAUUUGCAGGUUUGUCACUUCUUAGAGGGACUAUUGACUUGAAGCCGGGGUUUGAGAUGACAUUGACCUAUUCUCAAACUUUGAACAUGUAAAGAAGUGCGUUGGACAUUCGAAUGAAGAGCUUUCAAUGGGCCACUUUUGGUAAGCAGAACUGGCGAUGAGGGAUGGACCGAACGUGGUGUUAAGAUGUCGAAAUACACGCUCAUCAGACACCGCAGAAGGUGUCAAUUUGUCUAAACAGCCGGGAUCCGCUUGAGUGUGUAACAGCUCAGCUGCCGAAUGAACAAGCCCUGAAAAUGGAUGGCGCUGAAGCGUGUAUCCUAUACUUCACCGUCGUAGAGGUCGUUGUGCUGCAAAGGUGGG
This 382-nucleotide non-coding RNA is filed under the name Lachancea lanzarotensis. RNAcentral's name for it is "Eukaryotic large subunit ribosomal RNA". It matches the Rfam family "Eukaryotic large subunit ribosomal RNA", at positions 957 to 1385 of the family's 3401-position model. Lineage: Eukaryota; Fungi; Ascomycota; Saccharomycetes; Saccharomycetales; Saccharomycetaceae. The record is from Rfam by way of RNAcentral.